RNAcentral lists this long non-coding RNA (5561 nucleotides) under Oryza sativa (Asian cultivated rice). RNAcentral describes it as "long non-coding RNA (OSAT_LNC000736)". Lineage: Eukaryota; Viridiplantae; Streptophyta; Magnoliopsida; Poales; Poaceae. The record is from RNAcentral.
CACGGCGUCAAGGGCUGCGGGCGAACAGGUUUCGCCACACGCCACACCCUUCGCCAUAGUACCAAUAAUGUAUGGCGUCAAGGGUUGGGGGCGAAUAUAAGUUGCUUCCAAGCUGGGGGGCUACGAGGCCACCCUAGCCUCUGGAGCCUUUCGCCACACCCACACCCUUCGCCACAGUACCCGCGCGGUACGGCGACAAGGGCUGGGGGCGAAAGUGGGUUAAGUCCAAGCUGGAGGGCUACGAAGCCGCCCAAGCCUCUGUCGCGACCGAGAAAAAUACAUUUUCCCAAAUGCUAGUGUAUUAAUCCCCGUCCCAGGAAAAGCCGAGGUACACCACACAAACAUGAUACAAAAGGCACAUCUUUAUUAUAUCGAUAAUAUUUACAUUAUUACAAAGGCACUUAAGGCCUGACAAUCAAAAAUAAACAGCAGCGGACUAGCGGGCCUACGGCUCCAUCUUCACAGGUGCUCAACUGGGGUAUAAUCCAGGACUCCACCUAAGACUUCUUCUCCAAAGCUUCUCUUACUGAAGGGGGGGAAAGAUUGAGCAAGAAUGAGUACAACCACAGUACUCAGCAAGCCACACCGGCGGAUGCAUGAUUAAUACAAGGGGGUACAAGGGGUAAUAAUAUAGGGGUUAAGUUUUGCAGAAAACAGCAUUUAAAAGUCACUUAGUUGCCCAAAGCCAUUUUAUAAAGACGAUCCUAGAGUUACACAGUGUUAUUAAUCAAGGCCGUGAACCCUCACGAACCUGCCUUAACCCAAGGCCUACGAUGAUUCAGACCGAACUGGCAACCCGACCCUGGGUCCCAGCUCGUCCCAAGCCAACCCAGGCCAACCAUUCCACAUUUUAGUUGUUAAGCAGGUUUUAAGAAUUAAAACACUAACUUGGGUACAUUGCUAGGCUUGCCCAUAACCGAGGGCGCGGCUAUUCGAAUAGGUUUUACUCUGAUCAGAGGUGUACAUCUUUACCCACAAGACACAUCUUCCUCACGUGUAACCACGUGCCACAUACCACCACGGUAUACGGACGGAAGACGUGACAUAGUUCCCAACCCAUCCUAGCCAUAAACAAGAGUACCGACCCAACCCCACCUACGGCCGGAACCCCCGGGACAGGCAGGCAGGAUUGAACCCCUAGCAGCAGGACACCAGCCCUGUGCCAUGACAUCUCGACUACCGAGCCGCAGCUCGUGUAGCCUUCAUUUGUCCUAGAGAUGUCCAUCGACCCCCGACUUCGUCCAUCUCCAUCCGUGUACUUUUGUUUAUAACCAGACUGAGCCACAAACUAAGCCUUACCCACUAGACAUGUGGAAGUACGGUAGUGCUUUGCAACAGAGGCCUGAGCUUAAUCCUUAUAGUACCCGAGGUACGACUAACAAAACCCAACCACGCACCUCGAGCCCAGCCUAAAACCAUUUUGGGGGUUUUGAAUAGAGGGGGAGGUGUGUGUCCAAUUCCAUCAUAAGCCAACCAUUCCAUAGUGUCCAAAUGAUAUGAGAAUUCCCAAAGUCUAAAGUUAUAAAACCACCUAAUGUUGCCUAAUUAAUCAGCGAAGCAUCUACCUAAAUUCAUACUAGUGGAACCAUGAAUAGAGUACCCACUAGUUGGGGUUUUGUUUAUCCUAGGGUGAACAAGGUAAUAAUAACAAUAGCAAUAAUAAUAAGGUCAUAACAAAGAUAAAUAGGCAUGACUAAAUAAAACAAUGAUAACGCGGGAAUUUAAAUAAAGCGAUAAUGCAUUAAUUUAAAUCAAAAUAAUUUUAUAAACUGGGAUUCAAUAUGUUCAAGGAUGAUGUGACUUGCCUUGCUCAGAGAGAACGGCCUUCCGAACCUUCGGCGACGACCACAAAGCACGCUUCGGGAACCUCCGGAACGACAGAAGCUACGCGAAGCACACAAGCAAAGCUACAAGCCUAUAAAGAAGCAAUAACAAUAUAUAAAAAGAAAGCACACGGUUCUUUAGGUUAUAACAAACAUUAAGAGACUUGAACGGGUCGAUUCGGAGCUCGUAUGACCAAGAUAUGAUCAUCCGAAGUUUAAUGCUGUUAUAUGGAGAUUUGCGGAUUAUUAUAAUUAAGCUUUGCAACUAUAAAACAUAUGGAAGCGCUAGCCUGGAAAAGACAGGAAGGCUGCGCUGUUGACAUGCGGACCCCACAUGUCAACCUAAAGGACCGCGGUAGACCGAGUACACAGAGACGGUCCACGGGUCGACGGAAGCGGACCCCGUGUGUCAACCGAGGCGAGUGGCCGACAAACGGACUCCACUAGACACCACACGGGCUGCACACAUGGAAACCACGCGGCUACUGAGCGGACACACUAACACGGACACUACACGGUCACCACCCGCACACGUGAACGACUACCGACACCGGUACACAGGUACCGGGGUCGACAACCGCACAACGGGUACGGGGCGACACCGAAAGGACGAGGACGGGGCAGCGAGAGGAGAGAUCCUUACCACCACGCGACAAGGCGUGGGAAAGACAACGACGAACGGGUGCGGCGGAGACGGACGGCGAGGGAACGACUUCGGCGGCGAUCCUUGAACGAAGGCGAGACACGGCCGGCACGAGGCUUGACGACGCGGAGGCGAGGACGAAGACGAUGAUGGGGCUGCGGCACUUGACGAAGCGAGGACGACGAACGAGAACGGCUGGACGGAGGGACGAACGCCACGACGACCAGGAACGACGAGAGGGCGACGACGACGACGACCGGGGCCGGCGAGAAAGCGACGAGGGCAGCCGGCAGCGGCUGCACGGAGACGAGGACGGCGCGGAACACGCCGCUGCGAUGCCGACGACGGAGGCGGCGCCCGCGAGACGACGAGCCGGCGAGGAGGAACGAUGACGACGACGACGAACACCGGCGGGGUUCGGUCGAAGGGGAGACGAGGCCGAGGGUGACCUUGCCGCUGCGAUGCCGGAGGUGGUGGUGGCGCAGCGACCCGAUGAGCCGGGCAGGAGGGAGGGGCGGCCGAAGGGACGCCGGCGACGAAGAGGAUGGAGAGGCCGGCGCGGGCGACGGCGGUCUCCGAACGAAUCAGAGGGUAGGCCGGGGUGGAGGUCGACGCGGCGACGCCGAGGGAGGAGACGGCGCGGCCGGCCCGCACUUGAGCGGUGCGGCAGGGGCGGCUGGAGGCAGUGGGUGGCGGCAAUGCCACCCGUUGCCGGUGGGGACGCGCCUCCGGCGGUCACCGCGCGAAACGGAGGGCAGGCCGGGGAGAGGAGGCGGCUGCGACGCCGGGGAAGGCGGCGGCACGGCCGGCCGGCGCACGGGUGAGGAGGGAGAGGCGGCUGGAGGCGGUUGACGUGGGGGAAAGAGAAGGGCGACGACGGGGAGGGGUGAUACGACCACGGGGAGGCUCGGGAUGAGGCUAAAACGAGAGAACGGAGCGAGGGGGUUCCGUUUUAUAGGCGUGGGGAGGGAGCUGGCCACGGGAGGAGCGGGGAACGGUGGCAGAAAAGGCGCCCGGCGGCCAUGGAAGGCGGCCAUGAAUGGCGCAGCCGUUCCGGUCAAAAUAGUGCACGAUUAAAGGGGAGAUUAGGGGGAAAAGGGAGAGGAAGGAAAGGGGAUUAAUUCCCCCCAAUUAAUUUUGGAAUCCAAUGCUUAAAUCGUGCGGUUUCGAGGGAGGAACGAACUAGGGUUUUCACGGGAGAGAGAGGAGGCCGUGCGGGAGGAGGAAGACGACCGGCGCGUGGGCCCCACGCGGUCAGCGCGCGCAGUCAGCGCACGCGCGGCGCGCGUGCACGCGGCUGGCUUGGCUCGGCCUGGCUUGGGCCGGGCUGCUGGGCCGAGGCAGGCCGAGAGGAAGGAGGAGGAGGGAGUGAGCUGCCCGGGAGGAAAGAGAGAAAAACAAAGAGAGGGGAGAGGGAUUUGGACUGUGGGCCGAGGGGGAGAGAGGGAGACUUUGGGCCAGACUUGGCCCAAAGGGAGGAGGGGGAUUAUUUUUAGCUUUUUCUUUUUAAUAAACUUUGUUAAUUGUUGUUGUUUAAUAAAUAUUUUCGGUGCUCUGAAAAUUCAAGUAAAAUUUGAGGGCUCCUUUUAGACCAAGGAGAAUUUAACAAAAAUUCUCCGGACCACAUUCGAAUUUUUCUAGCAGGUAUUUUAGUGUUUGUCAAUUUCUUUUUGAAUUUUAAUUAAUUCUAUUAUUCCUUUUAGAAAAUAAUUUUUAUUUCGGGAUGAAUUUAUCAGGGCGUGACAGCCUCUGCACACCUUUCGCCACACGCCACGCCCUUCCCCAUAGUACCAAUAAGGCACGGCAUCAAGGGCUGCGGGCGAACAGGUUUCGCCAACCCACGCCCUUCGCCAUAGUGCCAAUAUGGCACGGCGUCAAGGGCUGCGGGCGAAGAGGUUUCGCCACACGCCAUACCCUUCGCCAUAGUACCAAUGAGGUACGGCCUCAAGGGUUGCGGGCGAGGAGGUUUCGCCCACCCACGCCCUUCACCAUCAAACCAAUGAGGUACAGCGUCAAGGGUUGCGGGUAAAGAGGUUUCGUCCACCCACGCCCUUCGCCAUAGCGCCAAUAAGGCACGGCGUCAAGGGCUGCGGGCGAACGGGUAUCGCCAACCCAUGCCCUGCGCCAUAGUACCAAUAAGGUAUGGCGCAUGGCCUUGCAGGCGAAGAGGUUACGUCCACCCACGCCCUUCGACAUAGUGCCAAUAAGGCACGGCGUCAAGGGCUGCGGACGAACAGGUUUCGCCAACCCACGCCCUUCGCCAUAGUGCCAAUAUGGCACGGCGUCAGGGGCAGCGGGCGAAGAGGUUUCGCCACAUGCCAUACCCUUCGCCAUAGUGCCAAUAUGGCACGGCGUCAAGGGCUGCGAGCGAAGAGGUUUCGCCACACGCCAUACCCUUCGCCAUAGUACCAAUGAGGUACGGCAUCAAGGGUUGCGGGCGAACAGGUUUCACCCACCCACGCCCUUCGCCAUCGAACCAAUGAGGUACGGCGUCAAGGGUUGCGGGCGAAGAGGUUUCGUCCACCCACGCCCUUCGCCAUAGCGCCAAUAAGGCACGGCGUCAAGGGCUGCGGGCGAACAAGUUUCACCAACCCACGCCCUGCGCCAUAGUACCAAUAAGGUACGGCGUCAUGGGCUUGCGAGCGAAGAGGUUUCGUCCACCCACGCCCUUCGCCAUAGUGCCAAUAAGGCACGGCGUCAAGGGCUGCGGGCGAAUAGGUUUCGCUAACCCACGCCCUUCGCCAUAGUGCCAAUGUGGCACGGCGUCAAGGGCUACGGGCGAAGAUGUUUCGCCACAUGCCAUACCCUUCGCCAUAGUACCAAUGAGGUACGGCGUCAAGGGUUGCAGGCGAAGAGGUUUCGUCUACCCACGCCCUUUGCCUUAGUGCCAAUAAGGCAUGGCGUCAAGGGCUGCGGGUGAACAGGUUUCGCCAACCCACGCCCUUCGCCACAGUGCCAAUAUGGCACGGCGUCAAGGGCUGCGGGCGAAGAGGUUUCACCACACGCCAUGCCCUUCGCCAUAGUGCCAAUGAGGUACGGCGUCAAGGGUUGCGGGCGAACAGGUUUCGCCCACCCACGCCCUUUGCCAUAGUACC